CUGAGAAAUACAGAGAAAAUGUUAUAUUUUUGCAUUGAGUCAAAAUAACAAGGAGCUCAUUAAAAUCAGUAACGAAAUCAUUUGGUAAUCAGAAAAGAACGGACGCAAUCGAUUGGGCAAGCAUUUAGUUUGACAGCCAGUCGAUAAUGCAUAAUAUUGACAUAUUCAGUUAGAGUGACAAACACUCUCACAUUCUCACACUCCGCUGGGCAGCUGGUGAUAAUUGGCGUCUCGUUGAGGCAUCCACGAAGCAUCAAUGCAGGGGAGUGCAGGGGAGUCGGCUGAAGAUGAGUGCAAAUCAUGGAGCUGGCUGGCAUUAGGCAAAGAUCCACAAAGGCGAAGGCAAAGUUCUCACAAUUUAAUUAGUAUGCAUUUCCAUUAUUUAUAUAGUAUGCCCUCAAUGGCCACAUCGUUAGCAGUUGGCAGUUGGCAGUUGGCAGUCAGUUCCACUCGGGGCUCUCGGGGCAUUGUUUUCGUGCAUCCACAGGCCGCAGGGGCAGCAGGGGGGAAGUGGCGGCAACUCCAGCUCGUACGCAUGUCAAUCUUGUCGGAUGCUCUGUAGUUGCAGCUCACUUGCAUUCCUUGACGCUUGGUCCCACGGUGCUUCACUCAGAUCCUAGAACACAGAAAAUGCCCAGCAAGAAGACAAAACAAAUUCCGUCAGCAAUAACAACUUUUGAUGUUUUCUGGCAUUGCACAGAUAUAUGCAUUCUUGCGGUAUGGAAUUGUAAUUAAAGUUUAAUUCAGAUGUUAUGACAAUCGUUUGACUUGCCAUCUUUUUUGCGGCUUACACUUGUUGCUGUCGUAAACAUGGCUGUUUAUUAGUCAAUGUUUGCUUGAAGGAAUGCCAAACACUUCCCGAUUGCUGCUAUUGUUGUUCAACACUUGAAAUGCGUCGCCAUCUUUGCUGCUGUCACC
Long non-coding RNA from Drosophila montana, 918 nucleotides. RefSeq lists it as uncharacterized. The record is from RefSeq and is a predicted model, not a curated record. Lineage: Eukaryota; Metazoa; Arthropoda; Insecta; Diptera; Drosophilidae. The transcript has 3 exons.